ACAAGCAGCGGAGCGUGUGGUUUAAUUCGAGGCUACACGAAGAACCUUACCAGGGUUUGACAUGCAAGUGGUAGGAAUCCGAAAGGUGACCCGACCUUCGGGGAGCUUGCACAGGUGCUGCAUGGCUGUCGUCAGCUCGUGUCGUGAGAUGUUCGGUUAAGUCCGCUAACGAGCGCAACCCUCGUCGUGUGUUAUACGUGUCACACGAUACUGCCGGUAUCAAGCCGGAGGAAGGUGGGGAUGAUGUCAAGUCAGCAUGGCCUUUAUAUCCUGGGCUACACACACGCUACAAUGGCAGAUACAAUAGGUUGCGAAACCGCGAGGUGGAGCCAAUCCUCAAAGUCUGUCUCAGUUCAGAUUGUAGGCUGCAACUCGCCUGCAUGAAGAUGGAGUUGCUAGUAACCGCAGGUCAGCUAUACUGCGGUGAAUACGUUCCCGGGGCUU
RNAcentral lists this ribosomal RNA (444 nucleotides) under uncultured Leptolinea sp. Its description in RNAcentral is "bacterial SSU rRNA". It matches the Rfam family "Bacterial small subunit ribosomal RNA", at positions 925 to 1382 of the family's 1533-position model. The record is from RNAcentral. Lineage: Bacteria; Bacillati; Chloroflexota; Anaerolineae; Anaerolineales; Anaerolineaceae.